This 355-nucleotide ribosomal RNA is filed under the name Carabus linnaei linnaei. RNAcentral's name for it is "Carpatophilus linnaei linnaei partial 12S ribosomal RNA". Lineage: Eukaryota; Metazoa; Arthropoda; Insecta; Coleoptera; Carabidae. The record is from RNAcentral.
UUUAAAUGUAAAAUAAAUAUACUAAAGUAGUAUUAGUUAUGUUCUUGAAAUUUAAAGAUUUUGGCGGUAUUUUAGUCUAUUUAGAGGAGCCUGUUCUAUAAUUGAUAAUCCACGAUUAAUUUUACUUAAUUUAUAUAAAUUUGUAUACCGUCGUUAUAAGAAGAUUUUAAAAGAAUAUAAAUUUUUAAUAUUUUAUAUAAAAAAAUAUAUCAGAUCAAGGUGCAGUUUAUAAUUAAGAAGAAAUGGGCUACAAUAAAUUUAUUUAUACGGAUUAAAGUGAGUAUGUGACUUUAUGAAGGUGGAUUUAAUAGUAAUAAGAUUAAUUUAAAUUUUAUGAUUUUAGCUCUAAAAUAUG